This is a long non-coding RNA of Homo sapiens (human), 442 nucleotides long. Ensembl annotates it as DARS1 antisense RNA 1. Its record names the gene DARS1-AS1. The record is from Ensembl. Lineage: Eukaryota; Metazoa; Chordata; Mammalia; Primates; Hominidae.
UCCUCCCUCCCUCGGCGCAGCCCGGCCCAGGGGUCUGUCCUCCCAGGCCCAGGAAAGGAGGAAACCCACUUCCGCCGCGUCCAUGAUCUCCCGCGGCUUCUCCUGACUCUUGCGGCUGGCGCUGGCGCUGGGCAUCGGGACACGGAACUGGGCAGUGGACACCACCCUCCCUCGCAGGCUUCCCCCUUUCAACUCCGCUCGGCUGUAACCGCAGACUCGUCACUAAAACACCCACCUAAGCGCGGGCCUUGGUUUCUCCUCUCUUGGACUUUCCCGCCUUCUCUCUUCCCCUGGGCGACGUAGCUGCUUGGGGACGGAGGAGGCCUCUUCGCAAUCCAUUGCCCUGCUUGUUGGGACAGAGGAGUGCAGUUGGCUUGCCAAGGCAGCAUGGGUUACCAGUCCCUGUGUAAGUGAGGUGUAAAUACAGUGGCAACGACAACAA